Molecule: long non-coding RNA, 220 nt
Filed under: Elaeis guineensis (African oil palm)
Lineage: Eukaryota; Viridiplantae; Streptophyta; Magnoliopsida; Arecales; Arecaceae
Description: long non-coding RNA (EGUI_LNC006748)
Source: RNAcentral
AUCAAUAUUAAAAAAAUUUAAAUAAAUUAAAAAGAAUUUUUUUUAAAAAUAAUAAAAUAUAUAAAUAUAUAAUAAUAUAUAAUAUUUUAAAUAUUUUUUAUAAUAAAAUAUUUAAAAAAAUAUUAUAAUAAAAUCUUAGAUAUUAUUAAAUAUUAAAAUUAUAAUGACUAAAUAAAAAUUAUUCUAAUCAUAUAUAUUUGAUACGAGUGAAAAAAAGAAG